Juglans microcarpa x Juglans regia is the source of this 880-nucleotide long non-coding RNA. RefSeq lists it as uncharacterized. The record is from RefSeq and is a predicted model, not a curated record. The transcript has 6 exons. Lineage: Eukaryota; Viridiplantae; Streptophyta; Magnoliopsida; Fagales; Juglandaceae.
AGCAUGGCUCCCCAACAUUUUUUAAGCCCUUCGAUUUUCCUUAGAUUUUUAUUUCGUUUCUAAGCUGGCAUGCCGUCUUUGUUUUUAUUUUCAUGGAAUUUCAUUUAUACUUUUGAUUGGGGGUUUCUAAUUUUCUAUAGAAUAUUGCUGCAAUUUUCUACAUACAGGAGUCGCAAUUGGUUUGAAUAAUCGAUUUUUUUCUGGUUAGGUCAGAGUCUUUCUUCCUUCUUGGUCUGAUUGCUGGCUUCUCGAUUACUUGUGGAUCGAUCAAUGGAAACGGGAGAAAUGGGUCUUGUGGAAUUGUUCGGCUAUGACAAAGAACUAAGUUUAAUUCCUCCCCCAGUAUCAUAGGAAAAUUGCGGUUGGCAAGAUGAUGAACGCGAGGACGUGACGGAAGAGGAAUACUGCUCCUACGGGGAUCAAGUUUUGAAGACCGAUGGCUUUGAUGUUGACCGCAUUCCUGGCGUCUCUUGUUUCCACCAAAUUGACCAUGCAACUUGGAUGAUAAGAGUUGGGAUUACGAAGGGUAUUCGCGGCUUGCAAUCGAGGAAUACAACUUUCGCUUCAAGGAUGCAAAUGCAGGGUUGGAGUUUGUGAAGGUGCUGAAGGCAAUGGCUCAGGCUGCCAACGCAAUUAGGUUUUAUUUAACCCUUGAGGCUAGGGAUCUUGCUGAUGGAGGCAAGACUAAGAUCUAUCAAGCUGUGGUAUUAUCGGGGGUAACUGAGGAUACAGUGUCAUCCUUUAGGCUAAAACCUCAUGAAGAUGAGAAAGGUUGCAGUCGUGGAAAAGAAUGGUUUUGGGAAGAUUAUCUUUGCAGUGGUCUGAUAUGUUGAGUUUGACCAGAAGACUUUUCAGGGGUGUCAGGUUCAGGGAGUUUAGG